RNAcentral lists this ribosomal RNA (427 nucleotides) under uncultured Chlamydiales bacterium. Its description in RNAcentral is "partial 16S ribosomal RNA". It matches the Rfam family "Bacterial small subunit ribosomal RNA", at positions 355 to 774 of the family's 1533-position model. Lineage: Bacteria; Pseudomonadati; Chlamydiota; Chlamydiia; Chlamydiales. The record is from RNAcentral.
UCGAGAAUCUUUCGCAAUGGGCGAAAGCCUGACGAAGCGACGCCGUGUGAGCGAAGAAGGCCUUCGGGUUGUAAAGCUCUUUCGCAAGGGAACAAGAACGGUUGGAUAACACCCAGCCAAUUUGAUGGUACUUUGUAAAGAAGCACCGGCUAACUCCGUGCCAGCAGCUGCGGUAAUACGGAGGGUGCAAGCAUUGAUCGGAAUUACUGGGCGUAAAGGGCGCGUAGGCGGCUUAGAAAGUCGGAUGUGAAAUUCCGGGGCUCAACCCCGGAGCUGCAUUUGAAACUCCUGAGCUAGAGUUCAGUUAGGGUAAACGGAAUUCCACGUGUAGCGGUGAAAUGCGUAGAUAUGUGGAAGAACACCGGUGGUGAAGACGGUUUACUGGGCUGAGACUGACGCUGAGGCGCGAAAGCAUGGGGAGCAAACA